UACGUAGGGUGCGAGCGUUGUCCGGAAUUAUUGGGCGUAAAGAGCUCGUAGGCGGCUUGUCACGUCGGAUGUGAAAACCCGGGGCUCAACCCCGGGCCUGCAUUCGAUACGGGCAGGCUAGAGUUCGGCAGGGGAGACUGGAAUUCCUGAUGUAGCGGUGAAAUGCGCAGAUAUCAGGAGGAACACCGGUGGCGAAGGCGGGUCUCUGGGCCGAUACUGACGCUGAGGAGCGAAAGCGUGGGGAGCGAACAGG
This 253-nucleotide ribosomal RNA is filed under the name uncultured bacterium. RNAcentral describes it as "partial 16S ribosomal RNA". It matches the Rfam family "Bacterial small subunit ribosomal RNA", at positions 524 to 776 of the family's 1533-position model. The record is from RNAcentral.